CCUACGGGUGGCAGCAGUAGGGAAUAUUGCUCAAUGGGGGAAACCCUGAAGCAGCAACGCCGCGUGGAGGAUGAAGGUUUUAGGAUUGUAAACUCCUUUUGUCAGAGAAGAUAAUUACGGUAUCCCACGAAUAAGCCCCGGCCAACUCCGUGCCAGCCGCCGCGGUAAUACGGAGGGUGCAAGCGUUACUCGGAAUCACUGGGCGUAAAGAGUGCGCAGGCGGGCAUGUAAGUCAGAUGUGAAAUCCUGUAGCUUAACUACAGAACUGCAUUUGAAACUAUGAGUCUGGAGUGUGGGAGAGGUAGGUGGAAUUCUUGGUGUAGGGGUAAAAUGCGUAGAUAUCGAGAGGAAUACUCAUUGCGAAGGCGACCUGCUGGAACAUGACUGACGCUCAUGCACGAAAGCGUGGGGAGCAAACAGGAUUAGAUACCCCGGUAGUC
This 440-nucleotide ribosomal RNA is filed under the name uncultured bacterium. Its description in RNAcentral is "partial 16S ribosomal RNA". It matches the Rfam family "Bacterial small subunit ribosomal RNA", at positions 338 to 795 of the family's 1533-position model. The record is from RNAcentral.